Molecule: ribosomal RNA, 462 nt
Filed under: uncultured bacterium
Lineage: Bacteria
Description: bacterial SSU rRNA
Rfam family: Bacterial small subunit ribosomal RNA
Source: RNAcentral
AACGAACGCUGGCGGCAGGCCUAACACAUGCAAGUCGAGCGCCCCUUUCGGGGGGAGGCGGCGGACGGGUGAGUAACGCGUGGGAACGUACCCUUUGCUACGGAAUAGCCUCGGGAAACUGGGAGUAAUACCGUAUGUGCCCUUCGGGGGAAAGGAUUUAUCGGCAAAGGAUCGGCCCGCGUUGGAUUAGGUAGUUGGUGGGGUAAUGGCCUACCAAGCCGACGAUCCAUAGCUGGUUUGAGAGGAUGAUCAGCCACACUGGGACUGAGACACGGCCCAGACUCCUACGGGAGGCAGCAGUGGGGAAGUCUUAGACAAUGGGCGCAAGCCUGAUCUAGCCAUGCCGCGUGAGCGAUGAAGGCCUUAGGGUUGUAAAGCUCUUUCAGGGGGGAAGAUAAUGACUGUACCCCCAGAAGAAGCCCCGGCUAACUCCGUGCCAGCAGCCGCGGUAAUGUACAGUGU